CCUACGGGAGGCAGCAGUAGGGAAUAUUGCUCAAUGGGGGAAACCCUGAAGCAGCAACGCCGCGUGGAGGAUGAAGGUUUUCGGAUUGUAAACUCCUUUUGUUAGAGAAGAUAAUGACGGUAUCUAACGAAUAAGCACCGGCUAACUCCGUGCCAGCAGCCGCGGUAUUACGGAGGGUGCGAGCGGUACGCGGAAUCACUGGGCGGAAAGAGCGCGUAGGCGGGAUAGCAAGUCAGAUGUGAAAUCCCAGGGCUUAACCGUGGAACUGCAUUUGAAACUGGUAUUCUAGAGUGUGGGAGAGGAUGGUGGAAUUCCUGGUGUAGGGGUGAAAUCCGUAGA
RNAcentral lists this ribosomal RNA (339 nucleotides) under uncultured bacterium. RNAcentral describes it as "partial 16S ribosomal RNA". It matches the Rfam family "Bacterial small subunit ribosomal RNA", at positions 338 to 694 of the family's 1533-position model. The record is from RNAcentral.